Echinops telfairi (small Madagascar hedgehog) is the source of this 73-nucleotide small nucleolar RNA. Its record names the gene SNORD34. It matches the Rfam family "Small nucleolar RNA SNORD34". From Rfam's summary of the family: snoRNA U34 is found in intron 5 of the ribosomal protein L13a gene in humans. U34 is a member of the C/D class of snoRNA which contain C (UGAUGA) and D (CUGA) box motifs, and functions in directing site-specific 2'-O-methylation of 25S rRNAs. Lineage: Eukaryota; Metazoa; Chordata; Mammalia; Afrosoricida; Tenrecidae. The record is from Ensembl.
AGGCGUCUGUGAUGUUCCUUAAAUCUACCUACAUUGUUUGAACCCCAUGAGAAGAGCUUUGGCUGAGACGCUG